GAGUUGGCUGGGCGGCCGCGCGACUUUAAGUCUCGAGGAACGUCCGGGCUCCACAGGGCAGGGAUGGUGGCUAACAGCCACCCGGGGUGACCCGCGGGAAAGUGCCACAGAAAAGAAACCGCUGCGUCAGCAGUAAGGGUGAAAAGGUGAGGUAAGAGCUCACCAGCGUUGCGGGUGACCGCAUCGGCUUGGUAAACCCCAUCCGGAGCAAGACCGAGCAGCAGACGUAAAAAGAAUUGCCCGUUCGAUGUCUGCGGGUAGGUUGCUUGAGGCCAUCGGCAACGGUGGUCCUAGAUAGAUGGUCGCCACUACGAAAGUAGGACAAAACCCGGCGUACAGGCUGACUCGA
RNAcentral lists this RNase P RNA (349 nucleotides) under Actinomyces marseillensis. RNAcentral describes it as "Bacterial RNase P class A". It matches the Rfam family "Bacterial RNase P class A". From Rfam's summary of the family: Ribonuclease P (RNase P) is a ubiquitous endoribonuclease, found in archaea, bacteria and eukarya as well as chloroplasts and mitochondria. Its best characterised activity is the generation of mature 5'-ends of tRNAs by cleaving the 5'-leader elements of precursor-tRNAs. The record is from RNAcentral. Lineage: Bacteria; Bacillati; Actinomycetota; Actinomycetes; Actinomycetales; Actinomycetaceae.